ACGGGGGGGACAAGCGUUGUUCGGAUUUACUGGGCGUAAAGCGCGCGUAGGCGGGUUUUCAAGUCAGGUGUGAAAUCUGGCAGCUCAACUGCGAGAUUGCACUUGAUACUGUUAGUCUUGAGUGCUGGAGGGGAAAGUGGAAUUCCAUGUGUAGCGGUGAAAUGCGUAGAUAUCUGGAGGAACACCGGUGGCGAAGGCGGCUUUCUGGCCAAAUACUGACGCUGAGGCGCGAAAGCUAGGGUAGCAAACAG
RNAcentral lists this ribosomal RNA (251 nucleotides) under uncultured prokaryote. Its description in RNAcentral is "partial 16S rRNA". It matches the Rfam family "Bacterial small subunit ribosomal RNA", at positions 525 to 775 of the family's 1533-position model. The record is from RNAcentral.